AUUGAACGCUGGCGGCAGGCCUAACACAUGCAAGUCGAGCGGUAGAGAGAAGCUUGCUUCUCUUGAGAGCGGCGGACGGGUGAGUAAUGCCUAGGAAUCUGCCUGGUAGUGGGGGAUAACGUUCGGAAACGGACGCUAAUACCGCAUACGUCCUACGGGAGAAAGCAGGGGACCUUCGGGCCUUGCGCUAUCAGAUGAGCCUAGGUCGGAUUAGCUAGUUGGUGAGGUAAUGGCUCACCAAGGCGACGAUCCGUAACUGGUCUGAGAGGAUGAUCAGUCACACUGGAACUGAGACACGGUCCAGACUCCUACGGGAGGCAGCAGUGGGGAAUAUUGGACAAUGGGCGAAAGCCUGAUCCAGCCAUGCCGCGUGUGUGAAGAAGGUCUUCGGAUUGUAAAGCACUUUAAGUUGGGAGGAAGAGUUGUAGAUUAAUACUCUGCAAUUUUGACGUUACCGACAGAAUAAGCACCGGCUAACUCUGUGCCAGCAGCCGCGGUAAUACAGAGGGUGCAAGCGUUAAUCGGAAUUACUGGGCGUAAAGCGCGCGUAGGUGGUUUGUUAAGUUGGAUGUGAAAUCCCCGGGCUCAACCUGGGAACUGCAUUCAAAACUGACUGACUAGAGUAUGGUAGAGGGUGGUGGAAUUUCCUGUGUAGCGGUGAAAUGCGUAGAUAUAGGAAGGAACACCAGUGGCGAAGGCGACCACCUGGACUAAUACUGACACUGAGGUGCGAAAGCGUGGGGAGCAAACAGG
This 753-nucleotide ribosomal RNA is filed under the name uncultured Pseudomonas sp. RNAcentral describes it as "bacterial SSU rRNA". It matches the Rfam family "Bacterial small subunit ribosomal RNA", at positions 28 to 776 of the family's 1533-position model. Lineage: Bacteria; Pseudomonadati; Pseudomonadota; Gammaproteobacteria; Pseudomonadales; Pseudomonadaceae. The record is from RNAcentral.